Long non-coding RNA from Amphimedon queenslandica, 102 nucleotides. RefSeq lists it as uncharacterized. NCBI's taxonomy places the organism in Eukaryota, Metazoa, Porifera, Demospongiae, Haplosclerida, Niphatidae. The transcript is spliced from 3 exons. The record is from RefSeq and is a predicted model, not a curated record.
GCCUGCAUGAACACCUUUAAGUAAGACACAUGUCCAGAAGAUUAGUCACAACAAGACCACUCCCUUCAUCAAAAAAUCUAACUAGAAUGGACUACACCUCAU